AGACCCUGAAGGGACAGACCCAGCUAAUGAUGACCAUGAGUGGAUGUCCAGCCCAGCAGUCAGAACGUGGUAUCCAAAAGUUAUGGCCAUAAACAACAGAAAGACCAAGUCAAUAACAGGAAAAUGCAACCUAAGACUUCGAGAUGAUCUAAUGCAUUCCACCAUGGAGCUGCACAUGUACAAGGGCCAAAAUCUGGAGAAGUUGAAAGCUGGAUCUGUUGGACCCAGAUAUUAACCCAUGGAGAUAGAGCUGGAAUUGCUACUGGUCUGGUUGCUGGCUCCUUUAACAAGGUGAGGCAGCAUGACAAUGUAUGUGAGCUGCAAUGGUGCCUGACCCUGCACCAGUCUUCCAAGCCUAAGCAUGAUUGCUGCUACUAUUCCACCAUCCAAAUCUCAUGCAAUUUUUUUAUGGUUCUCAUUAGCUCAGACGCAUGCAGGGAGGCGGGGUCUGGGAAAUGUAAAGUCCAG
Molecule: long non-coding RNA, 468 nt
Filed under: Homo sapiens (human)
Lineage: Eukaryota; Metazoa; Chordata; Mammalia; Primates; Hominidae
Description: non-protein coding lnc-CYBRD1-1:1
Source: RNAcentral